This 253-nucleotide ribosomal RNA is filed under the name uncultured bacterium. Its description in RNAcentral is "partial 16S ribosomal RNA". It matches the Rfam family "Bacterial small subunit ribosomal RNA", at positions 524 to 776 of the family's 1533-position model. The record is from RNAcentral.
UACGAAGGUGGCAAGCGUUACUCGGAAUUACUAGGCGUAAAGGGCCGGUAGGUGGUUUGAUAAGUCUGUUGUGAAAGCUCCCGGCUCAACUGGGAGAGGCCAACAGAAACUAUCAGGCUUGAGUAUGGGAGAGGGUACUGGAAUUCCUGGUGUAGCGGUGAAAUGCGCAGAUAUCAGGAGGAACACCGGUGGCGAAGGCGGGUCUCUGGGCCGAUACUGACGCUGAGGAGCGAAAGCGUGGGGAGCGAACAGG